RNAcentral lists this ribosomal RNA (235 nucleotides) under uncultured Candidatus Saccharibacteria bacterium. RNAcentral describes it as "partial 16S ribosomal RNA". It matches the Rfam family "Bacterial small subunit ribosomal RNA", at positions 584 to 818 of the family's 1533-position model. The record is from RNAcentral. Lineage: Bacteria; Candidatus Saccharimonadota.
AAAGCGAUUAGUGAAAGGUCACGGCUCAACCGUGGAUACAUUAUUCGAACUUCUAAGCUAGAGGACAAGAGAGGUAGCUGGAAUUCCUAGUGGAGGAGUGAAAUCCGUAGAUAUUAGGAGGAACACCGAUGGCGUGGGCAGGCUACUGGCUUGUUCCUGACACUGAGGCACGAAAGCGUGGGGAGCGAACGGGAUUAGAUACCCCGGUAGUCCACGCCGUAAACGAUGGAUGCUA